Molecule: long non-coding RNA, 543 nt
Filed under: Mytilus galloprovincialis (Mediterranean mussel)
Lineage: Eukaryota; Metazoa; Mollusca; Bivalvia; Mytilida; Mytilidae
Source: RNAcentral
CCUGAGCUACCUUACAAUUUGCGUGCUGUUGUUUUUAAAAAAAAUAGUUUAUUAUUGUAUUUUUUGGUGUGUUUUGUAUUUUUUAUAGCUGCAUUUAGUGUGCCAAAAAAUAUGAAAACUUGACGUUCGUGACGUCACAUGUACAUACCAAACAAUGACGUCAUUCAAUAAAUUGCGUCACGCUCGAAUGACCGUUAUAUUGGAUUUAUUUUGAGGACAAAUAUUUCUUAAGCUUACAUAAAUAAAAAUUGAUUUAAUGAAAAAAAAUUAAAAAAAAAGAAAGAAGGGGUUUGAUAAAGGGUAAAGGUGUGAUAAAGGGUAUGCGAAAAGGGGUAGGGUGUGAUAAAGAGUGCGCAUCACAGUUGCGCGAUAUGGAUUAAACAGCAGGCUAUUUAUCAAGUUUUCAAAACUACUGUAUAUACUACUAAACAUAUGAUAAAUGCUUUUAUCAAAGUAAUGCAUAGCAUUACAAUUACUUUUGCAAAGUAAUGCAUUGCUUACACAUAACAUUUUAAAAUGUUAAUACUAAGAGGAAAAAAAAUC